AGGAAUUGAAGAGUGAUGAUGAAAACUAAAAAGUGAAAGAAGAUUAAGCAGAGAGAAAGAGAGAGAGAGAGAGGGAUAGGUGUGAGAUUUGGUGAAGUAGAAGAGGACAGAAUAGACAUCCGCCCGGAAAUACAGGGAUGCCGUACGCUAUUAAAUAGUUUUUAUUGAGUUUCCCAUAUUUUAUUGGUCUUUAACCCAAACAUAACCUCACAAAGUGAACCACUACCACUACUACAGUCUUUCUUCUUGUACCAUUGUUUCUUUCUCUCUCUCUCUCUCUCUCUCUCUCUCUCUCU
This 296-nucleotide long non-coding RNA is filed under the name Phaseolus vulgaris (common bean). RNAcentral's name for it is "long non-coding RNA (PVUL_LNC002773)". The record is from RNAcentral. Lineage: Eukaryota; Viridiplantae; Streptophyta; Magnoliopsida; Fabales; Fabaceae.